GGUUGUGAGAAUGAUCAGGCUGCAACAUCUGUCAACCCUUUGAUCACCAGGGUUGAUUGAUUCUGCUGAUCUGGCUAGCUGAGCAGAUGUUCCCUUCCUUAGUCACCUCUCCACAAGCCUGGGUUUAUCCCUAAGCUGCAGGCUCAGAGGACAAGUAUGACGACCCUCCAUGAAUAUAAGCAGACCAGUCUAUGGUCCACCUGCUAAAACCUCCAAACAGACUCUCAACAAAGAUUUUGUUUGUUUGUUUGUUUGU
This 256-nucleotide small RNA is filed under the name Mus spicilegus (steppe mouse). Its description in RNAcentral is "7SK RNA (ENSMSIG00000025239.1)". It matches the Rfam family "7SK RNA", at positions 1 to 273 of the family's 331-position model. Rfam says of the family: 7SK was discovered as an abundant small nuclear RNA in the mid-70s but a possible function has only recently been suggested. Two independent studies have found that 7SK RNA binds the CDK9/cyclin T complex (known as elongation factor P-TEFb). P-TEFb activates transcription by phosphorylating the C-terminal domain of RNA polymerase II. Lineage: Eukaryota; Metazoa; Chordata; Mammalia; Rodentia; Muridae. The record is from RNAcentral.